UGAGGAAUAUUGGUCAAUGGGCGAGAGCCUGAACCAGCCAAGUAGCGUGCAGGAUGACGGCCCUAUGGGUUGUAAACUGCUUUUAUAUGGGAAUAAAGUGAGGGACGUGUCCCUUAUUGCAUGUACCAUAUGAAUAAGGACCGGCUAAUUCCGUGCCAGCAGCCGCGGUAAUUCGGAAGGUUCGGGCGUUAUCCGGAUUUAUUGGGUUUAAAGGGAGCGUAGGCCGUUUGGUAAGCGUGUUGUGAAAUGUAGGAGCUCAACUUCUAGAUUGCAGCGCGAACUGUCAGACUUGAGUGCGCACAACGUAGGCGGAAUUCAUGGUGUAGCGGUGAAAUGCUUAGAUAUCAUGAAGAACUCCGAUUGCGAAGGCAGCUUACGGGAGCGCAACUGACGCUGAAGCUCGAAGGUGCGGGUAUCGAACAGG
This 424-nucleotide ribosomal RNA is filed under the name Verrucomicrobiota bacterium. RNAcentral describes it as "Verrucomicrobia bacterium partial 16S ribosomal RNA". It matches the Rfam family "Bacterial small subunit ribosomal RNA", at positions 355 to 776 of the family's 1533-position model. The record is from RNAcentral. Lineage: Bacteria; Pseudomonadati; Verrucomicrobiota.